This 513-nucleotide ribosomal RNA is filed under the name uncultured Acinetobacter sp. Its description in RNAcentral is "bacterial SSU rRNA". It matches the Rfam family "Bacterial small subunit ribosomal RNA", at positions 390 to 893 of the family's 1533-position model. The record is from RNAcentral. Lineage: Bacteria; Pseudomonadati; Pseudomonadota; Gammaproteobacteria; Moraxellales; Moraxellaceae.
AGCCAUGCCGCGUGUGUGAAGAAGGCCUUUUGGUUGUAAAGCACUUUAAGCGAGGAGGAGGCUACUUGGAUUAAUACUCUAGGAUAGUGGACGUUACUCGCAGAAUAAGCACCGGCUAACUCUGUGCCAGCAGCCGCGGUAAUACAGAGGGUGCGAGCGUUAAUCGGAUUUACUGGGCGUAAAGCGUGCGUAGGCGGCUUCUUAAGUCGGAUGUGAAAUCCCUGAGCUUAACUUAGGAAUUGCAUUCGAUACUGGGAAGCUAGAGUAUGGGAGAGGAUGGUAGAAUUCCAGGUGUAGCGGUGAAAUGCGUAGAGAUCUGGAGGAAUACCGAUGGCGAAGGCAGCCAUCUGGCCUAAUACUGACGCUGAGGUACGAAAGCAUGGGGAGCAAACAGGAUUAGAUACCCUGGUAGUCCAUGCCGUAAACGAUGUCUACUAGCCGUUGGGGCCUUUGAGGCUUUAUGUGGCGCAGCUAACGCGAUAAGUAGACCGCCUGGGGAGUACGGUCGCAAGA